GGAAGUAAAAGUCUAACAAGGUUUCCGUAGGUGAACCUGCGGAAGGAUCACUACAGUAGUCACCCAGGUUGCCGCAAGGCCUCCUGGGUAACCUACCACCCUUUGUUUAUUACACUUUGUUGCUUUGGCAAGCCUGCCCUCGGGCUGCUGGCUCCGGCCGGCGAGCGCUUGCCAGAGGACCUAAACUCUGUUUGUCUAUACUGUCUGAGUACUAUAUAAUAGUUAAAACUUUCAACAACGGAUCUCUUGGUUCUG
RNAcentral lists this unclassified non-coding RNA (255 nucleotides) under plant metagenome. Its description in RNAcentral is "partial contains small subunit ribosomal RNA, internal transcribed spacer 1, and 5.8S ribosomal RNA". The stretch from base 1 to 53 matches the Rfam family "Eukaryotic small subunit ribosomal RNA", at positions 1778 to 1831 of the family's 1831-position model. The record is from RNAcentral.